RNAcentral lists this ribosomal RNA (491 nucleotides) under uncultured bacterium. RNAcentral's name for it is "partial 16S ribosomal RNA". It matches the Rfam family "Bacterial small subunit ribosomal RNA", at positions 29 to 506 of the family's 1533-position model. The record is from RNAcentral.
AGUGAACGCUGGCGGUAGGCCUAACACAUGCAAGUCGAACGGCAGCACAGUAAGAGCUUGCUCUUACGGGUGGCGAGUGGCGGACGGGUGAGGAAUACAUCGGAAUCUACUUUUUCGUGGGGGAUAACGUAGGGAAACUUACGCUAAUACCGCAUACGACCUACGGGUGAAAGCAGGGGAUCUUCGGACCUUGCGCGAUUGAAUGAGCCGAUGUCGGAUUAGCUAGUUGGCGGGGUAAAGGCCCACCAAGGCGACGAUCCGUAGCUGGUCUGAGAGGAUGAUCAGCCACAGUGGAGCUGAGACACGGUCCAGACUCCGACGGGAGGCAGCAGUGGGGAAUAUUGGACAAUGGGCGCAAGCCUGAUCCAGCCAUACAGCGUGGGUGAAGAAGGCCUGCGGGUUGUAAAGCCCUUUUGUUGGGAAAGAAAAGCAGCAGGUUAAUACCCCGCUGUUCUGACGGAACCCAAAGAAUAAGCACCGGCGAACUUCGU